CGACCUCAGAUCGAGCGAGAUUACCCGCUGAAUUUAAGCAUAUUACUAAGCGGAGGAAAAGAAACUAACCUGGAUUCCCUCAGUAGCGGCGAGUGAAGCGGGAAGAGCCCAUCGCCGAAUCUCCGCGUCCUAGCGGCGUGCGAGAAAUGUGGCGUGAGGAAGCCGUGGCUAACCGGAGACGUGGAGCCGACGUCCUUGUGAAGGAGGCUUAUCCCAUAGAGUGUGUUAGGCCCCCGCAGGCGCCCGUAACCGGUGGCCUCAGGCUUCUAAGAGUCGGGUUGUUUGAGAAUGCAGCCCUAAGACAGGUGGUAAACUCCAUCUAAGGCUAAAUACUAGGCACGAGACCGAUAGUUCACAAGUACCAUGAGGGAAAGUUGAAAAGAACUUUGAAGAGAGAGUUCAAUAGGACGUGAAGCUGCCGAGAAGUAAACGGAAGGGCCCCGCAUACCUUCGGCCGGGAGAUUCAGCGUAAGGGGAGGCUUCGGUGCCCCGUUCUGCCUUGAGACCCUCUUCGGGGGGACCCGGCGGGAUGGGUCGAUGCAGCCGCCUUUAACGCGCAUUUCUCCCGUGCCUCUAGGGUUGGCGACCGACCGUAGUUGGCCGAUUGGACGCGGUAAAGGCAGGUAGCUCACGCCGGUUUCGGCCGGCGAGAGAACGUAUAGUCUUGCCGUAUGCAUCGGCUGCUAGGUCGAGGAAUGAUGACCACGUGCCGUGCCUGCCCAAUAGGGCUGGAGCCGCCGGACUCCCGCUCGUGCGGCGUACGGGGACUGUCCUCAGUGCCCGCUCGCCCGUGCGGUCGAGAAAGGCCGGAUUAGCCUCACAGGCGCACAGGGUCCGCCAACUUGGCCGGGCGCCUUUUCGACCCGUCUUGAAACACGGACCAAGAAGUCUAACGGACACGCAAGUCGAAGGGUCGUAUACGAAACCCCGAGGCGCAAUGAAAGUGAAGGUCGGUGUAGGCCGCCUUCGGUGGGAUCCCAGGUCUACCCACGGCCAGGGCGCACCACCGCCCCGUCUCACCCCGCAUUGUUCGGAGAGGCGGAGGAAGAGCGUGUACGCUAGGACCCGAAAGAUGGUGAACUAUGCCCGAGCAGGAUGAAGCCAGAGGAAACUCUGGUGGAGGUCCGCAGCGAUUCUGACGUGCAAAUCGAUCGCCCGA
This 1159-nucleotide ribosomal RNA is filed under the name Ophiopholis aculeata (daisy brittle star). RNAcentral describes it as "eukaryotic LSU rRNA". It matches the Rfam family "Eukaryotic large subunit ribosomal RNA", at positions 1 to 909 of the family's 3401-position model. The record is from RNAcentral. Lineage: Eukaryota; Metazoa; Echinodermata; Ophiuroidea; Amphilepidida; Ophiactidae.